Molecule: long non-coding RNA, 1260 nt
Filed under: Chrysemys picta bellii (western painted turtle)
Lineage: Eukaryota; Metazoa; Chordata; Testudines; Emydidae
Description: lncRNA (ENSCPBG00000024465.1)
Source: RNAcentral
GCUGACCCUCCCCCCCAUCCGCAGGGCGCCUAUAAGUGCAGCAAUUAACGGCUCUGGCUUCUGAACAACCACUAAUGGAGCCUCUGGCGGGGGCCCAAGGCCCUGCUGCUGGGCGGGGGCAGGGCAGGAGAGUGCUUCUGGCAGGCCGUGGCUGGGCUGGGCUGGUUCUCCCUCUGCCCCACUUGGCAGAGUUCUUCUGAGAGGCCAUCUUGUCACUGCCCCCCAGCCCGGUGCGCCGCCAUUCCCCAGGCCACGCCUCUGCCCCAUGGGGGGUUAGACAAGGGGCCUCUCACCCUAGGCAGGAGCACGGCCACCCCAUGCCAGCCUCACCACCCAGAGCUGGGUGCGGUUGGACUCGUGCUGGCGCAGCGGGGCGUAUUCCCUACUCCUCUGUGUGCCCUUCCCCACCUGCUCUCCAGCCAGAGCCAUCUUCCCCUCCCGCACAGAGUCAGAACCCCCGUCACCCCCAGGUUUGGCUUUAUGAACAAAACCUCCCAACCAAAGAACAGCUCAGCCCUUCUGCCCAGGCUGGGCUGCUCCAAGGCUCCUCUCUCCAGCCUGCUCAGCCCGCACCCUAGAUCCUCUCUCCCCAGGGAGCCACUGCCCCGGCCCUAACACCCAGCAGGGUAAUGACCCUGCCUGGGGGAGUCACCAGCACCCACUUUCCUGGCUGACAAGUGGGGCUCAGGAAUGCCAGCGCCAGCCUCAAAAGUGCCUGCAGCCUCCUGCCCCAUCGGGCACUGGCUCCCAGAGAGGCUCAUUAGUGAUGUGCCCGCCUCCCUGGCUCAGCCAGGUCCCAGUGGAGCUGGGCAGUAAGUGCAGAAGGCUCAUGUGGGGAAGUCUUAAUGGCUGUGUGAGGGAGAGGCGCUUGCUGGGCCCGAGAUGGAGGCGGGGGCAGGAGGGGCCGUGGUUUCUGUUUCCUCAGACUGGAGCCUGAGCUGCCUCUGCCCAAGGAGCAGACGAGAAGAUGCUGCACAGACUCCUGCUGGGUGGCCUCCUCUGCACCACGCUGCCUACCAGCUUCCUCGGCACAGCCUCAGCCCGUAACCUGCAGCUCUGCGAGGGAUAUCCCAGCCCUGAUGGGCGCUACCACUCCGGCUUCUACUGCCCACGCCUCACUGACCCCCCUGCACACAGGUACUGCUGCCGCCAUGGAGACCACGCCCUCAAAUCCUGCUGCCCCCAGAUGGAGUUUGAGAGCCUGAGGAGGGUCAAUCUGUCCAACGUGCCCACCCCAGCCAGACUCAGGUAAGCAGCAGU